CGACCCGGCCAUAGCCGCCGGGCAACACCCGGACUCAUUUCGAACCCGGAAGUUAAGCCGGUGGCGUUGGGCAGAGCUGUGGAGUCCGAAAGGCUCCGCAGCUCUCCCAAGCUGGGAUCG
Molecule: ribosomal RNA, 120 nt
Filed under: Thermoprotei archaeon
Lineage: Archaea; Thermoproteati; Thermoproteota; Thermoprotei
Source: RNAcentral